GCCUUCGUGCAAAGACCGGUCCUAUUUCGUUUCAACCAGUGCAAUUCAGAACCCGGUAUGCUAAAGACUACUUUUAGAGGACUAAAACAAUGUAGUUCACUUAUAAACUACAUCGUUUUAGUCUAGAACUCUAUUCCAUAAAAGAACAAGUUAAAGAUCGUAUUUUUACACCUUCAACUCUAAAUUUCUUUUAUCUCCGCCAAAUAUGAGAGGAGAUUGAGUGAUCAGAUCCUAUUUUCCUCACAGACUACCUUUGUUCGACUCUUUCCCCUCUCCUCUAUCCCACCCUAUAAGAACCAAGAUUCAAUUUUUGCCAUUCUACUCCAAAUCGAACCCCAAAUGGAAAACCUAGCAUGCCUUCUCCUCUUUUGAUUUUGAAUGAAAUCGGCCACCGAUUGACCUUGAAACCUACGUCAAUCGAUAGAUCUCUUUGAGGUCUAUGUAUUGAAGAAGGAUUCAUGUUAUUUCGCGGUGGCCAACGCUCGGUCAAACCUCGGUUGACUUGCUAAGAGUCGCUGAAAUUUCUCUUUCUUCUAUACAUCCGGCUCACAGUAGUUAUCAUGGUAUAUACAACUAGCUAAACUGUAAAGAUUCCAAGCAAGUGGUCAUGUAACGAUAACCACUGUUGGCUGAAAUUUUCUUUGCCAGUCAGUUUGAACAUCCACAUGUAAUGCUUAGACAGGGUCUCGAGGGGCUCGGGUGAGUUUCAGACGGGUUUCAGACCAUUUUGGGCCAUGUUAGUUCUGUUGGUUUUUGCUGCUUCAUUUUUUCUUCGAGUUUGCGUCCCUAUAUAUUCAUGUUCGUGCAAUGUUAGUGGUGGUAUUCUUUGCGUUCGCAUCCCUUUUUUCGUGUUCGCGUAGUGUUGAGCUGGGCUGGGCAGGUCAUGAUGGAUUCCUCUUCGCAUUCGCGCUGGUGUCUACGCGUUCCAUAUGGUCUGGCAGUUGUGUUUUUCGCAUUCGCGAGGGUUGCUCUACAAACACGUAGCAUUAUUUCGCAACAAUGUAUUUUGUGCAUUGCGAUCGCGAGGGUACAACUGCGAUGGCGUAGGGUACCACUGGGCAGAGCAUAUGAGUACUCUAUUUCGGACCUUGAGCUCAUUUUAUCACAUUUUGAGUUAUGGAGCUUGAAUUUGGGCAAUUUUGGAGAGGAUUUUAACCUCAUGGAUUCAGGUAAGUAUUUUUUACCUAGUUUUGAUUAUAUUCCAUGAUUCCAUCUUCGAUUUUGGCAUUUGAUUGAUGAAUUUAAAAGAGAAAUUGGGGGGGGGGGGGGGGGUUUGUCUAAACUUCUCUAAAGUGAUUAAUUGAGUUUUGAACAUCGAUUCAGAGUCGGAUUUGAGUGAAAUUAGUAUGGUUGGACUCACAAUUGAAUGGGUUAUCAAAAUUUGUGAGUUUUUUCGGUUUUGGAAUACGAGACUAGAUUGACCUUUUGGUUGACUUUGAGUAUUUGAUUGAAAAUUCGACCCUUUUCAUUUGGGUUUGUUUUCUUUGGCAUUAAUUGAUGAUUUUGAGAUGCUUUUGGCUAAUUUCGAGCCGUUCGGAGGCUGAUUCACAUGAGAUGGCAUUUAUAGGGUAUUAUUUGGCUUGCUCGUAUUUGAUUUGUCUUGUUCGAGUUAAGUAAUAUAUCUAAACUUGGAUUUGAGGUAAUUAUCCCCGAAAACUAUGAUAUUUGAGAUGGGUUAGAGGUGACGCACGUGCUAGGUGACGAGCGUGUGUGCGUGCACUGAAAUAUAUUCAUAAUACAGGUAGUUUUAUGCUAUUAUGUGCCUUGUUUUGCUACCAUGCUUCUUUGAUAUCAUGUUUUCUCCAUUUAUAUGAUUAUGUGAGAUGGUAUUCAUGCUAGAAAUUAUGUCUAGGCCACCUGCUCAAUUAUUGAGACAUGAUAGGACUAUUUUUCCAUGUUGAGCUAAUUGCCUUAGCCGUAGUCAUAAUGUUUCAGUCAUAAUAGUUAUAUCCGCAUGUUAUAUCUCUACCUUUGUACAUUUGUUAUAUGUUAUCUCACUUGUUAUUGGUGUCUUAGUACGUGACACAGGUUGAUUUAUAAUUGAGGCAUAUUGGGGUAUUCCAUGUUAUAUGAUUGGAUUAUGUUUCUGUGAUAUAUUGAGAUAUGGAGACUUGAGCGGAUUGAUGACUGAUGUAGGCCGUAGAGCUGUGUUGUGAGUUAUGUUGGAUCGGGUUGCACACAACAACGAUUAUAUUGAUAUUGAGGCGACGCAUACACCAGGACCCACAUUGGGCUAAGUAUUACAGAUUUUGAGGCUACGCAUGCACCAGACCAUAUUAGCUUAUGAUUAGCAUUUGGGCAGGAUCCAUUCCUCCGGAGUCCGACAUAUCAGCAAUGGGCUCAAGUGCAGUGUUUUAUAUGCAUGCUUUAGUGAUGGGAAUUUAUGUCAGGCACCCAUACAGUGCUACGUGUUGCUGUGUAUGAUCGUGAGGGCCUUGGACCAGGUACUGUAAGUGUGGUAAGUGUGUUUAUUCUUGGUUGUUUCACUGUGAUGAUAUUUAGUUGACAUGUAUAUUUUUGACAUGUAGGCAUAGAUAUGUAUUUUUCUCAUGCUAGACAGUUUAUGACUUCUGAUGACUUGGCAUGUAUAUUGACAUGUAGGUAUAAGGAUGUAUAUUCCUCUUGCUAGACGGUAAUAUGAUAUUUGAUAAUUUGAAAUUUAUAUUUGACAGAUAAGCAUAGAGGUGUAUAUUUUUCAUGCUAGACGAUAUAUGAUAAUUACUGACUUGACAUGUAUACUAAUAUGUAGGCAUAAAGAUGUACUUUUCUCAUGCUAAUUGGUAAAUAGAGAUUCUUAUCUAGUGUUGUGAAUUGGAAAUAUAGAGUUAGUUUGAUAAACUCAUGCUUAGUUGAUUUUGAUGCUAAGGUUUAGACUUUGACUGUCAUACUUAAAAAGCAUAUCUAUUUUUCUGUAACUAUGACCGAGUUGAGCAUAAUAUUUUUCUGAGUUGUUACUAUUUCCGGCAUUAUCAUAUCUCAUGUUAUUAUCGAUUAUUUGAUGUUAGACUCUGACUAUCUUCCAAGCUCGUCACUGCUUUCAACCUGAGGUUAGGUUUGCUACUUAUUGAGUACAUGAGGUCGGUUGUACUCAUACUACACUUCUGCACCUUGCAUGCAUAUCUUGGUGUUGAUGCUCUGUGUAUAGCGGGAGCUGGCAUUGAAGAUGUACCUACUUUUCGGAUAUAGCUACUACUUGUCAUUGGUAGUUUUAAAACUUAAAUUUUGUUUAUAUAUAUUCCAAAUAGAUGUUGUAUUAUUUCAUACUGGCUUUGUAAAUCUAAGUCUUAGUGGCUCGUGACUUGUACUAUCAAUCCUUGAGGUUAAUGCAUAGAAGUUCAGUUAUUCAUUUAA
Non-coding RNA from Nicotiana tabacum (common tobacco), 3351 nucleotides. The record is from RefSeq and is a predicted model, not a curated record. Lineage: Eukaryota; Viridiplantae; Streptophyta; Magnoliopsida; Solanales; Solanaceae.